RNAcentral lists this ribosomal RNA (481 nucleotides) under uncultured bacterium. RNAcentral describes it as "partial 16S ribosomal RNA". It matches the Rfam family "Bacterial small subunit ribosomal RNA", at positions 28 to 507 of the family's 1533-position model. The record is from RNAcentral.
GAUGAACGCUGGCGGCGUGCUUAACACAUGCAAGUCGAACGAAGCACUUUAUUUGAUUUCCUUCGGGACUGAUUAUUUUGUGACUGAGUGGCGGACGGGUGAGUAACGCGUGGGUAACCUGCCUUGUACAGGGGGAUAACAGUUGGAAACGGCUGCUAAUACCGCAUAAGCGCACGGCAUCGCAUGCUGCAGUGUGAAAAACUCCGGUGGUAUAAGAUGGACCCGCGUUGGAUUAGCUAGUUGGUGAGGUAACGGCCCACCAAGGCGAGGAUCCAUACCCGACAGGGGAGCGUGACCGGCCACAUUGGGGCUGAGGCACGGCCCAAACUCCUACGGGAGGCAGCAGUGGGGAAUAUUGCACAAUGGGCGAAAGCCUGAUGCAGCGACGCCGCGUGAGCGAAGAAGUAUGUCGGUAUGUAAAGCUCUAUCAGCAGGGAAGAGAAUGACGGUACCUGACUAAGAAGCACCGGCUAAAUACGUG